UAUUGAUUUAACUACAAAACUAGUUAGAUCUAAGUUACAUAUCACAUAUAUAAUUUCAGAUCUAACUUAUACAUGCUUUGCAUACAUCUCAUGUAUUAAAAUCUGAUCUAAUUAGCAUGCUUUCAGAUCUGAUACAUCACAUGUAACAUCUAAAAACUAAGAUUUAAAUUAAACUAUUCAAUAUAAAAUCUAUUCUAGACAGUUACUAGAAUAAUUCUACAACUA
RNAcentral lists this long non-coding RNA (225 nucleotides) under Elaeis guineensis (African oil palm). Its description in RNAcentral is "long non-coding RNA (EGUI_LNC078285)". Lineage: Eukaryota; Viridiplantae; Streptophyta; Magnoliopsida; Arecales; Arecaceae. The record is from RNAcentral.